RNAcentral lists this ribosomal RNA (407 nucleotides) under uncultured Acidothermus sp. RNAcentral describes it as "bacterial SSU rRNA". It matches the Rfam family "Bacterial small subunit ribosomal RNA", at positions 355 to 774 of the family's 1533-position model. Lineage: Bacteria; Bacillati; Actinomycetota; Actinomycetes; Acidothermales; Acidothermaceae. The record is from RNAcentral.
UGGGGAAUCUUGCGCAAUGGGCGAAAGCCUGACGCAGCGACGCCGCGUGGGGGAUGAAGGCCUUCGGGUUGUAAACCCCUUUCAGCAGGGACGAAGCGAAAGUGACGGUACCUGCAGAAGAAGCGCCGGCUAACUACGUGCCAGCAGCCGCGGUAACACGUAGGGCGCAAGCGUUGUCCGGAAUUAUUGGGCGUAAAGAGCUCGUAGGCGGACUGUUGCGUCCGCUGUGAAAAGCUGGGGCUUAACCCUGGCCUUGCAGUGGAUACGGGCAGACUAGAGGUAGGUAGGGGAGAAUGGAAUUCCCGGUGUAGCGGUGAAAUGCGCAGAUAUCGGGAGGAACACCGGUGGCGAAGGCGGUUCUCUGGGCCUUACCUGACGCUGAGGAGCGAAAGCGUGGGGAGCGAACA